Molecule: long non-coding RNA, 571 nt
Filed under: Serinus canaria (Common canary)
Lineage: Eukaryota; Metazoa; Chordata; Aves; Passeriformes; Fringillidae
Description: lncRNA (ENSSCAG00000003053.1)
Source: RNAcentral
AUCUAUAAAUAAAUAAUAUAUGACCUUUGUACUCUAGAAGCCUAGUAAAGACCCUGGCAGGACAUCACAGAACCUCUUAAUAUAACUUUCAGCUAUUUGUGGGAGUCUGCCUCCGUGUCACUGAGAAACAGAGUUGGAGGUGACAGUUUAGAUUUUGCCUCCUCCUUCCGGAAGCCAUUUCAGUCAUGCAGGCAGUUAUGGAUCUUACUGUGCAUUUAUAGCUUAAGGAGUCAUUUCCACUUGGAAAUAGUCCUGGGCACAGUGAAGAUGGACACAGAGUGCAGGCAAAGGUACAGCUCUGUUACUGCUUUAAGUUUCACUGAUGACAUGCAAAUCAGAAUCUGUUGACCAUUGGCUGUUCCAGAUAUGAUGUCAAAGCCAGCAAGGGAGACUUGAUGACUCAAAAGCAGAAGUAUUUUGUUAGAACACCUUUCUUGGUGAGCCUGCAUUACCUCAGCAUGUCAAGAGGAAUAUUCUCAAGUUCAGACAACACUGAAGAAUAUCAUCUGCUUGAGGAGUUUUGCAUUGCUUUCCAAAAUACAUAUUGAUUACAGCAGAGUUUAAAUAAAAC